CACCUGUAUGUAUAUAUGUGUGUGUACUUCAGCUAAUUUGAUUUCACUUUAGAUCAGUGGCAUGUAAAUGGCCAUGGCUGAUGCACUAUUUUUGCUGUGUGUUUCAGUGGUGGUGCAUAGCAAAGAGAGUGUUUGGAGUGAAAGACCUCCAGAUGUUGCUGACCAGGACAGCCUAGGGUCCACAAAUGAAGGUCAUGUAGAGUAUACAGAGGUGGUUCAUCCUCAACCUGUAGAUCCUACACGGCUUCCUCUGAAGAAAGGCACAGAUACUGUGUACAGUGAGCUUCAGACCACUCAAGGGGCUGUUGAACAUGUUAACCAUCAAGGCCUGUUAGAAUAUGCUGAACUCAACCAUGAUCUUCCUGAACCAGUGGACUGAUAGAAGUCAGUCAGCAUCCCUCACCUCCCUCUGGACUACUGUGGCCUAUGUACCAUCAAUCUUCUGUGUCCUCCACCAACAUUCUCUUUAAAAAGAACAACAAAAAAACACUGAUUUAAUCAUUAAGUUCCCUUUCCUCAUAUGAUUGAUUGUUUGUCCUAUUUGUCACAGUGCUAUACUAUUUUGUGUAUAGUCGGUACUAAAAACCACAUGCUUUUCACAAGGUUGC
RNAcentral lists this long non-coding RNA (608 nucleotides) under Sinocyclocheilus grahami. RNAcentral describes it as "lncRNA (ENSSGRG00000018791.1)". The record is from RNAcentral. Lineage: Eukaryota; Metazoa; Chordata; Actinopteri; Cypriniformes; Cyprinidae.